AGAGAACAAGUGAAAUUUUAUAAUCAUGUAAAAAUAACUUGUUGAACAAUUGACACUUUGUUCUGACUUUCAAGAUGUCAAGGGGAACAUUGGUGCUAGUGGUGUUUUUAACGGCACGUUUGUUAGGAAUGACAGCUGCUUCUGAUGACACUUAUGAAGAUCUUAUUAAAAGAUACACUUAGAGAAAAAGGUUGACCAACGGCUCUCAAUGAAAAAACUCUCAUUUCAAAGGCAACUAACUCGACAAGUACAGAUAUUGGAAUCUCGUGUUGCCGUGUUGAUGCUGCAACAAACAAGGUUAAAUAGGGAAAAUAAAUUGUUAGAGACACGUAUCAUUCAAUUAGAGAGGCAAGUUAUGAAUAAUGAAAGAACCAUUGAAACACAACGAGCAGAGAUCGAACGUUUACAGAAUGACAACAAAAAACGUACGUUGAAAAAACAACUGACGAUAAGGUAUGGCAAGACCAACCAUUGGAAAAACAAAACAGCACACGUGCAAUAAAGAAAUAUUCUGGUGGGAGAAUAAGAAGAUCUUUUCCAGAGAUUCCAUUUGCAUUUUCGGCUAUUCUUGACCAUAGUGUUGACCACGCUGGAAUUGACCAGACUGUGAUAUUUAACAAGGUCCUUCUUAAUGAUGGGAAUGCCUACAACAGCCAU
Molecule: long non-coding RNA, 657 nt
Organism: Ruditapes philippinarum (Manila clam)
Lineage: Eukaryota; Metazoa; Mollusca; Bivalvia; Venerida; Veneridae
Exons: 3
Source: RefSeq, a predicted model, not a curated record